Molecule: long non-coding RNA, 1824 nt
Organism: Anolis carolinensis (green anole)
Lineage: Eukaryota; Metazoa; Chordata; Lepidosauria; Squamata; Anolidae
Source: Ensembl
CCUGGCAGAAGAAGAUAGAAUAUGCCUGGGAACUUGGGGUUGAAAAUAUAAACAAUUAUAAUUGGUCUAGUGUGUGAAAAUGGUAGUAAUGUGAUAUUGGGGGUGGGAAUUGAUGAUGAUAUUUACGUGUGGUUAAGUACCCAAAACAUCAAAUUGGGGCUACCUUCGAAAAAAUUGGGCCCUAAAUAUAUUGGACCAUUCAGAAUACAGGGUGUUAUCAACGAGGUGACUUUCCAGUUGGCAUUGCCAAAAAGUUUAGGGAAAAUACACCCUGUAUUCCAUCGUAGCUUACUGAAAAAGUAUAGGGGUACUUUGGACAAAAUGGACACAUAGAAUUAUUGUUUGGUUUGUUUCAGAUUUGUGAUGAAAGAAGAACCGAAGAGGAGGACGAAGAAAAGGAGGGCACCAUGUCAUGGAACCCAGUUACAGGGCCGAAUUACCAAGCCCUGAACUGGGAGUCAUAACAUAAACAAUCCUAGAAGCACCUGGCAGAAGAAGAUAGAAUAUGCCUGGGAACUUGGGGUUGAAAAUAUAAACAAUUAUAAUUGGUCUAGUGUGUGAAAAUGGUAGUAAUGUGAUAUUGGGGGUGGGAAUUGAUGAUGAUAUUUAUAUCGGUGUAACAAAGCAGAUACAAACACAGUUUAUAUACUUAUAAUCCUGUUUCAGUUUUUCCCAAAGUCAUGUGUUCUUCAAUAAAGAUUGGAUUUGAGAGCAGCUAUCUCUGAUCUGCGUUCAGACUGAUCCUUUGAAGUGAGCAGGACACUUGGAGCUAAAACAUACAUGACAAUUGUGACAUAAGUGCUCCUCUAGUAAAGUCUUUACCUCAUCAAAGAUAUCUAUAGUACACAAUCCACACAGGAUAACCUGGUAUAAUCAUGCUACCGGUAGCUGUUUGUGACUGAUGCACUUUAAAUGAUUAUCUAUGCAGUCUUAAAUUUGGGACUUUCCAUGGUAGUUAGUUACACAAUCACAAGUAGUGGCUACAUAGCAUUUUCAGGACCAACUUGAGAAACUGUAAGUUGCUUCUGGUGUGAGAGAAUUGGCCAUCUGCAAGGACGUUGCCCAGGGUGUUUUACUAUCCUGUGGGAAGCUUCUCUCGUCUCUGCAUGGGAGCUGGAUCUGACAGAUGGGAGCUCACCCACUCCCUCGAUUCGAACCACAGCCAAGGGUUUAACAAUUUAAAACUUUAACCCAUUGCACCACCGGCAUGAGCACCCUCACUAUCACACAUCUUUCCAGUUACACAACUGCACUAAUUUGCUGAUCUGUGAUCCCAUACGUGUACUUCCAUAUAACACCCCCUCUCAUACUUUCAGUGUUGCUUUUUUAAAAAUCAAUUUUUGCAAUUGUAGGCAUAGUUAAUAAAAGGCAUUUAAAUAGAACUGAAAAUCAAAAAAUUACUGCUUCAGAAAUAGUGAGGAGAAAAGCAGGAGAGGAGGAGAAUCCUGUCCCGUGACAUCACUUCACUGCCAGUGUGCCUUUACUAAAGUGGAACAGCUCCUUCACAUAGAUAGGUGACAGGAACAUGGACUGAUUGGCAGGGAUUUUUAUCCAUCAAUAGCAGGAAAUGGCUUAAUCAUGGGGAAGAGAUAGACCAGCAACAGAAUCUGCUUGGCAUUAUGUGAUUGGGACCUGCCACUUGUAAUGGUCCUGCUUCAGUAGAAGUUUGUUUCUUUCGUUCAAUAAAGUCCUUGGACUCAAUGCCAGGACAGAUGCCAUUUUGAGAAUAACCUGCUAUUUAAAAGGAGCAGAACUACACAUGUCCAUUAUGACAUGAUUGCUGGCUCACAUCUGUUGGCUUCCUUGGCCUUGACCUUCCAUGGG